UACGGGGGGGGCAAGCGUUGUUCGGAAUUACUGGGCGUAAAGGGCUCGUAGGUGGCCAACUAAGCCAGACGUGAAAUCCCUCGGCUUAACCGGGGAACUGCGUCUGAUACUGGAUGGCUUGAGUUUGGGAGAGGGACGCGGAAUUCCAGGUGUAGCGGUGAAAUGCGUAGAUAUCUGGAGGAACACCGGUGGCGAAGGCGGCGUCCUGGACCAACACUGACACUGAGGAGCGAAAGCCAGGGGAGCAAACGGG
RNAcentral lists this ribosomal RNA (253 nucleotides) under uncultured bacterium. Its description in RNAcentral is "partial 16S ribosomal RNA". It matches the Rfam family "Bacterial small subunit ribosomal RNA", at positions 524 to 776 of the family's 1533-position model. The record is from RNAcentral.